CCAGUGGGCUAUGACUACGAGCACCGACAGAUCGACUGCAGCGCCAUUGUGGUGAGUUAGGGGAGUCUGUAUACGCGCUAUACUUCGCACCGACAGACCCAAAAAUAAGCCCGACUAAGUUAGGGGCACUUACGCCGUUCGCUUCCGGACAUUCCUCCUUAAUGCGAAACUAUGGGAUGAGGGCCCCUAAAGCUAAGUCAGGUAAAACAAAAAAGUAAAGUAAGUGAAAGAUCACUAUUAAAUAGGGUUGAAUUUUUUAACUAUGCCAAACAAGCCGUAUUCUGGUAGAAAUUCUUAGGCCUUACACCUUAGUUGUUACUUAUUGUCUGCUGAAUGUAGAUUGUGUUCUAUUUUAAACAUUCUCUUGGUUACCAAAGUAAAAUUUGCCACCUUCUUUUCACGAUUAUUUGCAUGAUACACUCGAUUGUUGUUUGAAGGUGGAUUUUCACCAGAAAUCCUUUGAAUGGUACGCCCACUGUCAGCAGCCUUACAGUGUGCUUCAUAAAUACAUCAACCCCUGAGAUAACAUUAUCGUUGGAAAUUGUGUUUUUGUUGUGGUUCUGUUCUCCACUUUUGUUAUCCACAUGCAAUUUUCACACUACUUCAUUACCUUUGUGGUGUGAUAAUUUAUCAUCCUGGAAAAAGGAUUCUGGAAAUUGAUGAUUUAUAAUAUACAGCUGAUAACGAGAUAUAAUGUAUUUACAUUCCAGAAUGAACUUCCAGUUUGGAGUUGUGAGUGUUUUAUCAGAUUAUGGAUUCCUACUUUGAAAACCAACUAUUUUCUUCUACAAAUGGAUUUUGAAGUAUCAUGUGCAUGUGGUAUUAUGUACUCUAUGAUGGAAGUACUAUCGUGUGCUGCAUAAUGUUAUUACUUUAUGGAAUCAGUUCAUUCAAUUUUAACCUAUUUUUGUAUUCAAAUAUAGAUGUUUGUGAAGCCUUUGAUUGACAUUAUAUAUUAAAAAAUACUCAUGGAAGCCUUCAGGAGGUUCUUGCAGGAUCUGUUAUUGGCCGUCUAUGUUAUGCAGUAAAUUGGAUCUGCAGUUCAGUUAGAAACUUUAACUUAAAAAUAUGCUCAGCAUAGAAUUUAUAUGAAAAAUGAUAUUUGAUUGGAAAAGUUCCUGGUUGAGAAAAGAGAUUU
This is a long non-coding RNA of Daphnia magna, 1138 nucleotides long. RefSeq lists it as uncharacterized. The transcript has 6 exons. NCBI's taxonomy places the organism in Eukaryota, Metazoa, Arthropoda, Branchiopoda, Diplostraca, Daphniidae. The record is from RefSeq and is a predicted model, not a curated record.